RNAcentral lists this long non-coding RNA (205 nucleotides) under Elaeis guineensis (African oil palm). RNAcentral's name for it is "long non-coding RNA (EGUI_LNC013275)". Lineage: Eukaryota; Viridiplantae; Streptophyta; Magnoliopsida; Arecales; Arecaceae. The record is from RNAcentral.
GAUACAAAGUCUUUGAAGGCGAUACCUACAAAUAAUAUUUUUCAAAUGGUAUGCAAAAUCUGAUACCAGUGAGGGCAUGAAUGAUUUAAAAAAGGAAAAGAUAAAAUUGUAAUGACCUCUCCAUCUUGCCCGUCCUCCUGCUUCCAAGUUCAUCACCAUCUAUCUCUGUGAUGUCUCAAUAGAUCUUUGAUUCAUGUUGCGGCAG